This 253-nucleotide unclassified non-coding RNA is filed under the name uncultured Bacillaceae bacterium. RNAcentral's name for it is "contains 16S-23S intergenic spacer region". It matches the Rfam family "Bacterial small subunit ribosomal RNA", at positions 524 to 776 of the family's 1533-position model. The record is from RNAcentral. Lineage: Bacteria; Bacillati; Bacillota; Bacilli; Caryophanales; Bacillaceae.
UACGUAGGUGCCAAGCCUUGUCCGGAAUCAUUGGGCGUAAAGCGCGCGCCGGCGGUCUUUUAAGUCUGAUGUGAAAGCCCCCGGCUCAACCGGGGAGUGUCAUUGGAAACUGGGAGACUUGAGUACAAAAGAGGAGAGUGGAAUUCCACGUGUAGCGGUGAAAUGCGUAGAUAUGUGGAGGAACACCAGUGGCGAAGGCGACUCUCUGGUCUGUAACUGACGCUGAGGCGCGAAAGCGUGGGGAGCAAACAGG